This 1056-nucleotide long non-coding RNA is filed under the name Homo sapiens (human). Its description in RNAcentral is "HSALNT0069365". The record is from RNAcentral. Lineage: Eukaryota; Metazoa; Chordata; Mammalia; Primates; Hominidae.
AGAAGUUUAUUUUACCUAGAAUUAAUGACAGGAAAACCCCAUAAACGUGGUGCAAAAUGUUUAAUGCCCCAUUGAAUGUCAACAUUAUGCCAUCCAUCUGUCCUUGCAGGUGUAUUAUUUCUAGUCCCCAGGAUGAAAAGAAAAGUUGCUUUUCACGUCUUUUAUAGUACUUAAAAAUACAUAUUUCCAAGGCUUUAUUGCCAAAGGUCCUGCUUUCUUCCAGAACCCACAAUAACUAAUCAUGUCACUGCCACCAAGUCUAGGAAUUGGAAUUAAUAGUUGGUUGGGGGGGUUGCUCCCAUCCUAUGAGUGAUCUUUGCUUUAACGACCCUUAGAGUUAGUGAUUUCUCCUAAAUAUUUAUUUCUCCCUAAGGGAAAGAUUUCUCUAAGAACAUUCUCUCUGCCCUAAAUAUUCACAAUUCUCAAUCUGUUUUUCUUCUAUUUGUCCACUUAGAGUUUUUGCUGGAAUCAAUUUUAUUAAUUUCCUUCUGAAAAUUAACAAGUCAAAGUAAAUCACAGGGAGCUUUUUCCUCUCCACCAUAUGACUCUCUUCACUUUCUCGGUUUUUCUCUCAAUGCUAGGUCACCAUGGCCUGGAUUUACUCUAAUUUCUGUCCAGAACUUUCCUGGAGAUUCACUUUGAGGCACUCUGUGGACUUGCGUUUUCUCAUUGGCUGUUCUGGUGGCAGUCGGCUUGUUAACUGACUUUUAUCGUUUGUUUUCACAACAACCUUCUGACUCCUUAGAGCAAAUUGCAAGGCAAAACAUGUUAUCCAAUUGGCAGUUAGGAAAUCCAGAUCCCGGGCCCCAGAGGGAAGGCCAACUCCUUAAUUCCAGCCUGAUGAUGGGAAAGAAGUCAUCAGGAGGUUAAGUGACUUAUGCAAUUGGAUGGAGCAAGCCAGCGUCCACAACAGGAUCCUGGACACUCAGUCCCUGCCUCUUCGGACAGCGUUCAACUCUCCCAGCCGCACUUCUUCCCUGAAUGCUUUUUAAUCUGGCAUGAUCCACAAAUAAAGGAAAUUGUGGUUUUCACAUCAUGAUGGAGGUUAUUUUUCCA